RNAcentral lists this self-splicing intron (496 nucleotides) under Chlorella variabilis. The stretch from base 26 to 391 matches the Rfam family "Group I catalytic intron". From Rfam's summary of the family: Group I catalytic introns are large self-splicing ribozymes. They catalyse their own excision from mRNA, tRNA and rRNA precursors in a wide range of organisms. Lineage: Eukaryota; Viridiplantae; Chlorophyta; Trebouxiophyceae; Chlorellales; Chlorellaceae. The record is from RNAcentral.
AGGUUGGUGGGGACCCCGCAGGGCCCCACCCCAGUCAUUGCCAUGCGGAUAAAAGCAGGCCUGAAAAGGGUUUCCUGCUAGUCUCGACUCGAUUGGGUGCUCCAAUCGACCGAGGCAACACCCUCAAAUUGCCUGGAACUCCUGCUAGGCCCCUGGUACCGCCCAAUCGAUGAAAGUUGGUUGUGGCACCACGGUGAAAGUCGUGGGUAUGGUAAUAACCCAGUGGGAUAGGGAUAAUGGGCAGCCAAGUGCUAAGUGCAAUCGAAUCGGUGGUAUCGGUUGCAUAUGCAUGCUGUUCACAGACUAAAUGUGGGUGGGUCGAACUGGAAAUCUCAUCGAUUGCAUUUCCUUUUUGGCUUAAGAUAUAGUCGGGCCCCGCCGAGAGGCGUGCCUCUAGGAGGAAUCUCUAUUCGAGAGGAGAGCCUAGAGGGGACUGGGUAGAACUCGAUGGAGCGAUCCAUUCGAGGGCGAUCAAGCCUCCAGUCUGGACUCACCG